This 253-nucleotide ribosomal RNA is filed under the name uncultured bacterium. Its description in RNAcentral is "partial 16S ribosomal RNA". It matches the Rfam family "Bacterial small subunit ribosomal RNA", at positions 524 to 776 of the family's 1533-position model. The record is from RNAcentral.
UACGAAGGGGGCUAGCGUUGCUCGGAAUCACUGGGCGUAAAGCGCACGUAGGCGGAUUGCUAAGUCAGGGGUGAAAUCCUGGAGCUCAACUCCAGAACUGCCUUUGAUACUGGCGACGUUGAGUCCGGGAGAGGUGAGUGGAACUGCGAGUGUAGAGGUGAAAUUCGUAGAUAUUCGCAAGAACACCAGUGGCGAAGGCGGCUCACUGGCCCGGUACUGACGCUGAGGUGCGAAAGCGUGGGGAGCAAACAGG